AAAUUGAAGAGUUUGAUCAUGGCUCAGAUUGAACGCUGGCGGCAGGCCUAACACAUGCAAGUCGAACGGUAACAGGAAGAAGCUUGCUUCUUUGCUGACGAGUGGCGGACGGGUGAGUAAUGUCUGGGAAACUGCCUGAUGGAGAGGGAUAACUACUGGAAACGGUAGCUAAUACCGCAUAACGUCGCAAGACCAAAGAGGGGGACCUUCGGGCCUCUUGCCAUCGGAUGUGCCCAGAUGGGAUUAGCUAGUAGGUGGGGUAACGGCUCACCUAGGCGACGAUCCCUAGCUGGUCUGAGAGGAUGACCAGCCACACUGGAACUGAGACACGGUCCAGACUCCUACGGGAGGCAGCAGUGGGGAAUAUUGCACAAUGGGCGCAAGCCUGAUGCAGCCAUGCCGCGUGUAUGAAGAAGGCCUUCGGGUUGUAAAGUACUUUCAGCGGGGAGGAAGGGAGUAAAGUUAAUACCUUUGCUCAUUGACGUUACCCGCAGAAGAAGCACCGGCUAACUCCGUGCCAGCAGCCGCGGUAAUACGGAGGGUGCAAGCGUUAAUCGGAAUUACUGGGCGUAAAGCGCACGCAGGCGGUUUGUUAAGUCAGAUGUGAAAUCCCCGGGCUCAACCUGGGAACUGCAUCUGAUACUGGCAAGCUUGAGUCUCGUAGAGGGGGGUAGAAUUCCAGGUGUAGCGGUGAAAUGCGUAGAGAUCUGGAGGAAUACCGGUGGCGAAGGCGGCCCCCUGGACGAAGACUGACGCUCAGGUGCGAAAGCGUGGGGAGCAAACAGGAUUAGAUACCCUGGUAGUCCACGCCGUAAACGAUGUCGACUUGGAGGUUGUGCCCUUGAGGCGUGGCUUCCGGAGCUAACGCGUUAAGUCGACCGCCUGGGGAGUACGGCCGCAAGGUUAAAACUCAAAUGAAUUGACGGGGGCCCGCACAAGCGGUGGAGCAUGUGGUUUAAUUCGAUGCAACGCGAAGAACCUUACCUGGUCUUGACAUCCACGGAAGUUUUCAGAGAUGAGAAUGUGCCUUCGGGAACCGUGAGACAGGUGCUGCAUGGCUGUCGUCAGCUCGUGUUGUGAAAUGUUGGGUUAAGUCCCGCAACGAGCGCAACCCUUAUCCUUUGUUGCCAGCGGUCCGGCCGGGAACUCAAAGGAGACUGCCAGUGAUAAACUGGAGGAAGGUGGGGAUGACGUCAAGUCAUCAUGGCCCUUACGACCAGGGCUACACACGUGCUACAAUGGCGCAUACAAAGAGAAGCGACCUCGCGAGAGCAAGCGGACCUCAUAAAGUGCGUCGUAGUCCGGAUUGGAGUCUGCAACUCGACUCCAUGAAGUCGGAAUCGCUAGUAAUCGUGGAUCAGAAUGCCACGGUGAAUACGUUCCCGGGCCUUGUACACACCGCCCGUCACACCAUGGGAGUGGGUUGCAAAAGAAGUAGGUAGCUUAACCUUCGGGAGGGCGCUUACCACUUUGUGAUUCAUGACUGGGGUGAAGUCGUAACAAGGUAACCGUAGGGGAACCUGCGGUUGGAUCACCUCCUUACCUUAAAGAA
This 1552-nucleotide ribosomal RNA is filed under the name Escherichia coli. RNAcentral describes it as "bacterial SSU rRNA". It matches the Rfam family "Bacterial small subunit ribosomal RNA". Lineage: Bacteria; Pseudomonadati; Pseudomonadota; Gammaproteobacteria; Enterobacterales; Enterobacteriaceae. RNAcentral also lists the same sequence under 3 other names. The record is from RNAcentral.